Molecule: ribosomal RNA, 434 nt
Filed under: uncultured Pseudobutyrivibrio sp.
Lineage: Bacteria; Bacillati; Bacillota; Clostridia; Lachnospirales; Lachnospiraceae
Description: partial 16S ribosomal RNA
Rfam family: Bacterial small subunit ribosomal RNA
Source: RNAcentral
ACGGGAGGCAGCAGUGGGGGAUAUUGCACAAUGGGCGAAAGCCUGAUGCAGCGACGCCGCGUGAGCGAAGAAGUAUUUCGGUAUGUAAAGCUCUAUCAGCAGGGAAGAUAAUGACGGUACCUGACUGAGAAGCACCGGCUAAAUACGUGCCAGCAGCCGCGGUAAUACGUAUGGUGCAAGCGUUAUCCGGAUUUACUGGGUGUAAAGGGAGCGUAGGCGGUUUUACAAGUCUGAUGUGAAGGCCCGGGGCUCAACUCCGGUACUGCAUUGGAAACUGUAGAACUAGAGUGUCGGAGGGGUAAGUGGAAUUCCUAGUGUAGCGGUGAAAUGCGUAGAUAUUAGGAGGAACACCAGUGGCGAAGGCGGCUUACUGGACGAUUACUGACGCUGAGGCUCGAAAGCGUGGGGAGCAAACAGGAUUAGAUACCCUGGUA